This 336-nucleotide ribosomal RNA is filed under the name Entomoneis paludosa. RNAcentral describes it as "Amphiprora paludosa partial Eukaryotic small subunit ribosomal RNA". It matches the Rfam family "Eukaryotic small subunit ribosomal RNA", at positions 91 to 435 of the family's 1831-position model. Lineage: Eukaryota; Bacillariophyta; Bacillariophyceae; Surirellales; Surirellaceae. The record is from RNAcentral.
GAAUGGCUCAUUAUAUCAGUUAUAAUUUACUUGAAGAGCGAUUGCACAUGGAUAGCCGUGACAAAUUCAGGAUAUAAUACAUGCAUUAAGUCCCACCUCUUGGAGUGGAUGUGCUCAAUAGAUCCAAACCUUUCCUGCUUGCAGGAGCGGUGAAUCAUAUGCAUCAUUCGGACCGCAAAUCAUACGUUGGCGGCACUUCAUUCAAGUAACUGCCCUAUCACGUUGUCGGUAGUGUAUUGGACUACCGAGCGGAUGACGGGUAACGGGGAAUUAGAGUUCGAUUCCGGAGAAAGAGCAUGAGACACGGCUAUUACAUCCAAGGAAGGCAGCAGGCGC